Molecule: ribosomal RNA, 854 nt
Filed under: Salmonella enterica
Lineage: Bacteria; Pseudomonadati; Pseudomonadota; Gammaproteobacteria; Enterobacterales; Enterobacteriaceae
Description: partial 23S ribosomal RNA
Rfam family: Bacterial large subunit ribosomal RNA
Source: RNAcentral
AAGACGGAAAGACCCCGUGAACCUUUACUAUAGCUUGACACUGAACAUUGAGCCUUGAUGUGUAGGAUAGGUGGGAGGCUUUGAAGCGUGGACGCCAGUCUGCGUGGAGCCGACCUUGAAAUACCACCCUUUAAUGUUUGAUGUUCUAACGUGGACCCGUAAUCCGGGUUGCGGACAGUGUCUGGUGGGUAGUUUGACUGGGGCGGUCUCCUCCUAAAGAGUAACGGAGGAGCACGAAGGUUGGCUAAUCCUGGUCGGACAUCAGGAGGUUAGUGCAAUGGCAUAAGCCAGCUUGACUGCGAGCGUGACGGCGCGAGCAGGUGCGAAAGCAGGUCAUAGUGAUCCGGUGGUUCUGAAUGGAAGGGCCAUCGCUCAACGGAUAAAAGGUACUCCGGGGAUAACAGGCUGAUACCGCCCAAGAGUUCAUAUCGACGGCGGUGUUUGGCACCUCGAUGUCGGCUCAUCACAUCCUGGGGCUGAAGUAGGUCCCAAGGGUAUGGCUGUUCGCCAUUUAAAGUGGUACGCGAGCUGGGUUUAGAACGUCGUGAGACAGUUCGGUCCCUAUCUGCCGUGGGCGCUGGAGAACUGAGGGGGGCUGCUCCUAGUACGAGAGGACCGGAGUGGACGCAUCACUGGUGUUCGGGUUGUCAUGCCAAUGGCACUGCCCGGUAGCUAAAUGCGGAAGAGAUAAGUGCUGAAAGCAUCUAAGCACGAAACUUGCCCCGAGAUGAGUUCUCCCUGAGACUUAGAGUCUCCUGAAGGAACGUUGAAGACGACGACGUUGAUAGGCCGGGUGUGUAAGCGCAGCGAUGCGUUGAGCUAACCGGUACUAAUGAACCGUGAGGCUUAACCUU